UUCAAGUGAAGAGUUUGAUCCUGGCUCAGAUUGAACGCUGGCGGCGUGCCUAACACAUGCAAGUCGAGCGGUAACAGGUGUAGCAAUACAUGCUGACGAGCGGCGAACGGGUGAGUAAUGCUUCGGAAUCUGCCCAAUGGUGGGGAAUAACCAGCCGAAAGGUUGGCUAAUACCGCAUAAGUCCUACGGGAGAAAGCAGGGGAUCGCAAGACCUUGCGCCGAUGGAUGAGCCGAAGCCGGAUUAGCUAGUUGGUAGGGUAACGGCCUACCAAGGCGACGAUCCGUAGCUGGUCUGAGAGGACGACCAGCCA
Molecule: ribosomal RNA, 311 nt
Filed under: Gammaproteobacteria bacterium
Lineage: Bacteria; Pseudomonadati; Pseudomonadota; Gammaproteobacteria
Description: bacterial SSU rRNA
Rfam family: Bacterial small subunit ribosomal RNA
Source: RNAcentral